RNAcentral lists this long non-coding RNA (855 nucleotides) under Lathyrus oleraceus (garden pea). RNAcentral's name for it is "Pisum sativum (pea) long non-coding RNA (PSAT_LNC029396)". Lineage: Eukaryota; Viridiplantae; Streptophyta; Magnoliopsida; Fabales; Fabaceae. The record is from RNAcentral.
UUUUGUAUGACUUUUCAUGAACAAUUGCAUGCUCCCCUUAUGAUACAUAUUCGUUCAAGUGAUCAUAAGUCCCUUGAUCACUUGAUUGAAUUAAACCUUUAAACUUGCACUUCCACUUGAUCCAUCAAGCCAAUAUCAAGUCAAGACUCACAUUCAAGACCUUGGAGAUAGGAAUACAUCAAGACUUGGUCAUGCUGCGCUUUGUCCAUUCAAGCACACUUUGUCUCAUCCUCUUCAAAACAAAAACUCUUUUUUUUUUAAUUUCAAAACGCUAUUUAAUUAUGAUGUGAAUUGUGCGUCACAAACCUUAAGAAACGGAGAAGAAUGAGAAUGAUCACUCCUACCCUUGUUUUGAAUACCUUUGAAUACGAAACGUAAGCCUCAAAUAUUCAAAGUAUUUGUCUCCGUUCAUAGACUUUAGUGCAAUUCAAAUCAAAAUAACCUUCAACUUUCAUUCAUCCUCAGACAAUACUUCAAACAAUCCACAUCAACCACACCAUUCUCUUUGGACUAAAACACUAUACUCUUUUGAUACAUAUACGACUCUUGAGGUUAAUCACCUUCUCCUGGUUAAUCACCUCCCACAUACGUUAAUCAUAUUUUCAUGGUUAAACACUCAUCUCUAAACCAUACCCCUCUCUUUGGGAUAAUCACCUUCUCAUGGUUAAAUCCCUCUUCAUGCAUGUUUGCCUUGUUAGUCUCAUGUUUAGGAAAACCCCUCGAUGCAUGUUUGCCUUGUUAGUCUCAUGCUUAGGAAAACCCCACUAUCGUACCUCAAAAAAUGAGAAUGCGACUUAGCGAAGUGCAAUCGUACACUCGUAUGAUGAACUGAACAGAGUUGCCACCGAACUUUAU